AGAAAUAGGUGCUAAUACCGCAUAAGCGCACGGCUCCGCAUGGGGCAGUGUGAAAAACUCCGGUGGUAUACGAUGGAUCCGCGUCUGAUUAGCUAGUUGGCGGGGUAACGGCCCACCAAGGCAGCGAUCAGUAGCCGGCCUGAGAGGGUGGACGGCCACAUUGGGACUGAGACACGGCCCAAACUCCUACGGGAGGCAGCAGUGGGGAAUAUUGCACAAUGGGGGAAACCCUGAUGCAGCGACGCCGCGUGAGUGAAGAAGUAUCUCGGUACGUAAAGCUCUAUCAGCAGGGAAGAAAAUGACGGUACCUGACCAAGAAGCCCCGGCUAACUACGUGCCAGCAGCCGCGGUAAUACGUAGGGGGCAAGCGUUAUCCGGAUUUACUGGGUGUAAAGGGAGCGUAGACGGCAGCACAAGUCUGGAGUGAAAUCCCGGGGCUUAACCCCGGAACUGCUUUGGAAACUGUGCGGCUGGAGUGCAGGAGGGGUAAGCGGAAUUCCUAGUGUAGCGGUGAAAUGCGUAGAUAUUAGGAGGAACACCGGUGGCGAAGGCGGCUUACUGGACUGUAACUGACGUUGAGGCUCGAAAGCGUGGGGAGCAAACAGGAUUAGAUACCCUGGUAGUCCACGCCGUAAACGAUGAUUACUAGGUGU
This 653-nucleotide ribosomal RNA is filed under the name uncultured bacterium. RNAcentral describes it as "bacterial SSU rRNA". It matches the Rfam family "Bacterial small subunit ribosomal RNA", at positions 152 to 823 of the family's 1533-position model. The record is from RNAcentral.